This 90-nucleotide transfer RNA is filed under the name Parvibium lacunae. RNAcentral's name for it is "tRNA-Ser". It matches the Rfam family "tRNA". Rfam says of the family: Transfer RNA (tRNA) molecules are approximately 80 nucleotides in length. Their secondary structure includes four short double-helical elements and three loops (D, anti-codon, and T loops). Lineage: Bacteria; Pseudomonadati; Pseudomonadota; Betaproteobacteria; Burkholderiales; Alcaligenaceae. The record is from RNAcentral.
GGAAGCGUGGCAGAGUGGUUGAAUGCACCGGUCUUGAAAACCGGCGGGGCUUUACGGCCCUCGUGAGUUCGAAUCUCACCGCUUCCGCCA